This is a long non-coding RNA of Bubalus bubalis (water buffalo), 1730 nucleotides long. RefSeq lists it as uncharacterized. NCBI's taxonomy places the organism in Eukaryota, Metazoa, Chordata, Mammalia, Artiodactyla, Bovidae. The record is from RefSeq and is a predicted model, not a curated record. The transcript has 2 exons.
CUUCGGAUGACCUCCCGUAAAGUGAUGCAACCUCCCCCGCGCCUGGGGUGGCUCCUUCUGUGCAACCACAAUUAGCUUCACGGCUCCAGCUUGCAGCCACAGCAUCUGCUCCCAUAACUUAUGGGGCUAAACUGUCAGAAGAGGAGAAAACCAGACAGCAGGCAGGGGGCGAGAAAGGGCUGGUCUCUCCUGAGCCCCAGAGGCGCCUGAGGAGCUCGGGCUCCAGAGAGGCCAGGUUGGCUUCCUCCGAGGGUGAAGGAGCUGAGACACCUCCAUGGCCACCCCCACAUCUGUGUGGCAGCUCCUGUGACCUCACCCUGGUCCAGAUGCUCCAUGGGGUCCUCCCAGCCCCACCCCCACAUGCAGUCAGAUGUCCGGCUUCUGCCCCUAUCCCUGCAGGCUCACCUUCCUGCCCCCACACCAUCACCUUAUUUCAGGCCCUCAGCCUGUCUCACCUGAUCAGUUGCAAUACCUUCCUAACCAGCUUACCUGUCUCCAAGCUGGUGACCCCAUAAAUCAUCUUCCAGCUCCCAAUUCGCUUCUUAAAGUGAAACUCUUACUGUUUCACUUCCUCACCUCAAGAAACUUUGGUGGCUUCCCAGUAAGGCUCAGACAGUGAAGAAUCUGCCCGCAAUUCAGGAGACCCGGGUACGAUCCCUUGGUCAGGAAGAUUCCCUGGAGAAGGACAUGGCUACCUACUCCAGUAUUCUUGCCUGGAGAACCCCACGGACAGAGGAGCCUGGCAGCCUGCAGUCCAUGGAGUCACAAAGAAUCAGAUGUGACUGAGUGACUUUCACUUACUCAGGAACUUACUGAAAUAAUUGCUCAACUUGGCAGUCAAGCUGGCACCCACCAACCCCAGGCCACCAACUUUCACCAGCACUGAGGCAGUGAGAACAGUGUGCUGCAGGCUUAGGGGUCAAGCCCUAGCUCUAUCACUUGCAAACAGGGUUAACUGGAGUAAGUCCUAUAAAGUCCGGGGGCCUCACUUUCCUCAUCUAUUAAAUGGGGAUAGGAGACCACCUCCCAGACGUGCUAGGAGCUGUAAAUGGGGAGAUGCUUGUAAGAGCUCCACAAAUGUUCCCCACUUCCCUCUGUAGAGACGUGUCCAUUGGCUGAGCUCCGUCUGAAGCAGCUGAGGAGAAGGCAGUGAAAUCAGUUCCUGAUACAUAUUCAGGGAACUCUCAGCAGCUGUUUCUCCAAGAACAGAGAGUCUGGAGGGACCCACCUGCAGCCCAUCGAGGCCCUAGGCGCUGAGUCACCAGCCAGGCCAGGACACCACAACAGGCACCGUCACUGAAAAGCAAACAACAGCAAAUCCACGAGGAAGCCAUUCACGGGAUUAAUGGGGGUGAAAGGCACAAGCCUGUUCCUGUUCCAUGUUGGCAGUAGACGUGGAAGGCCUGAUCUGCCCAUGCAGAGGCAGGUCUUAGAGGAGACAGAUCACCUGGCUGUGGCAGUCUCGACCUUUUUUGUGCCCGGGACCCCCUUAGAAGCCAAUAUUAUUUUUUGAAUGAAUGAAGUAAAAUACAUAGGAUUUAAAAGAAAACCAACGACAUUGAAAAACAGUUGGCAGAGAAUAAAGCUGUGUGGUAGGGCAGCCCAGGCGCAUGGCUGGGAACACUUAGGACAACAAGACAGCAUCAGACCUGCAGUCAGCCUUGGUCUGAUUGUGUGAUGAUAUAUUUAGUCUAGAUCUGGAGAUGUCCCUAACUGUCACAUGAUAUGAA